RNAcentral lists this ribosomal RNA (444 nucleotides) under Reticulinasus faini. Its description in RNAcentral is "Ornithodoros faini partial 16S ribosomal RNA". The record is from RNAcentral. Lineage: Eukaryota; Metazoa; Arthropoda; Arachnida; Ixodida; Argasidae.
UAAAUUGCUGUGGUAUUUUGACUAUACGAAGGUAUUGAAAUAAGAUUUUAAUUGAGUGCUAAGAGAAUGGUUGAACAAAGAGAGACUUUCUUGAUAUUUAUAAUAAAAGUUGAUUUAAAAAUGAAAAAGUUUUUAUGAAAAUUUGGGACAAGAAGACCCUAUGAAUUUUUAUUAAAAAUUAAUUUUUUAAUUUUUAAUUUAUAUAAAUUAAAUUAAUUUUUAGUUUGAUUGGGGCGAUUUUUAAAGAUUGAGAAUCUUUAAAUGAAGAUGUAAUUAGAACCAUUAUUAUUGGUUGUAUGAGUAAAAUACUCUAGGGAUAACAGCGUUAUUAUUUUGAAUAGUUCAUAUUGAUAAAAUAGUUUGCGACCUCGAUGUUGGAUUAAGAUUCUUAUAUAAUGAAGAAGUUAUAUAAAGAAGUUUGCUCAACUUUUAAAAUCCUACUUG